Molecule: long non-coding RNA, 709 nt
Organism: Vigna angularis (adzuki bean)
Lineage: Eukaryota; Viridiplantae; Streptophyta; Magnoliopsida; Fabales; Fabaceae
Exons: 3
Source: RefSeq, a predicted model, not a curated record
CCCGAAAACUGUCAACAUCAUGAAGGAUAGCUUGGUCAUUUGACAUUAUGGGCUGGUGCUGAGUUGGCAGGUAAAAAAGUUAAAUGAAACGUUGCGUUUCACUGUGUGGCUUAGGAUCUGUGUGUGGGAUUUCAAAUUUCGAAACGCUCGAGUUAACUUGCUGGCUUAGGAUCGUGUGUGGGAUUUCAAAUUUCGAAAUUUCGAGCUAGGGUUAGGAUUGAGAGAGAACGAGAGAUAACGAGAGAACCAGAGAGAUCGAGGGAGAAAACACAAACCCUACUCCAUUGCUGCCACCGGAGGCUGGACGUGAUAGGAAAAGUUUGUACCAGCGAAGGUGUAGCCGAAGGCAAAGUUCGUACCGGACGUGAUCGAUGUGGAGCGCGGAAGUGUCCUUGUGGAAUCAGCUCUUACGAAAUUAAUUGUUUUGCAUGUAUUACCCUAUGACAUAACUCUGAGGAAUAUUGUCAAGGUUUUUGGAAGUGAUAUUGGGGGCCCAACUGAUGACCUAGUACGUCUAUCAAUACCAAUUGAUACCAACAAGCCUCCAACACGCUCCGUUGAUGACAUUCUAUCGAAAUUGAUUCCACCUCUUCACAAACCUCAAGGCACUGGAUGAAAGAAGAACAAUAUAAAUGCAACAACUUUAAAACUUUCAUAAUUUCCUUGCCUGUAUUUCAGAUUUAUCGUUGUUGUUUGUUGUCGAAUAUUG